CUUCACAAUGAAAUGUAUUUGAUGGGGCUGGCUGGGUGCAGUGGCUCAAGCCUGUAAUCCCAACACCUUGAGAGGCUGAGACAGGAGGAUUGCUUGAGUCCAGGAGCUCGAGACCAGCCUGGGCAUAUGCACUGGGCUCAGUUCCUCUCAUUUCCAUCAUGGGAUAUGUUGACAGAGACAUCCAGCUACUCUGUCAGUCCUCGGGCUGGUUCCCCCGGCCCACAGCGAAGUGGAAAGGUCCACAAGGACAGGAUUUGUCCACCGACUCCAGGACAAACACAGACAUGCAUGGCCUGUUUGAUGUGGAGAUCUCCCUAACCGUCCAAGAGAACGCUGGGAGCAUAUCCUGUUUCAUGCAGCAUGCUCAUCUGAGCCGAGAGGUGGAAUCCAGGGUACAGAUAGGAGAGACGUUUUUCCAGCCCUCACCUUGGCGCCUGGCUUCUAUUUUACUCGGGUUACUCUGUGGUGCCCUAUGUGUUGUUGUCAUGGGGAUGACAAUUGUUUUCUUCAAAUCCAAAGGUAAGUGAGAGAGAGAAGCAUGGGCCCAUGCUUUCUUCAUGGUUCCAGUGGAGCUGAUAUCAGGCUGCCCUCACACACCUCUGGGCUCUGUUCUUCCAGCCCUAGGCCCACGGGGUCCACCGCCUGAGGCACAGGGAACCCAGUCUUCAGCCUCCUCUGUGCUGACCUGAAAUGGCUCCUUCAGAAAAUGCCAGCCUCUGCCAAUCCCUUUCUACUUUACGUGGAGCACAGGAUAAGCAGAUAAUUGAUUUUCAGUAAAUAAAGAGAAAUAAAUUUCUACUAACGACAACAAGAGUCUUAUAAGAAAAUUUCAGGGUAGUUGCAAAGACUUCAUAAAAGAGGAAAUAAAACUGACUGACUGAGAUAAAAUGAUAAUCUCAAUAAGAGUCUUCACCCUAGAACAAAUUUCCUCCUCCUUGGGAGCGACACUUCCCAUUGAGGAUGAGGCCACCCCCACCUCCCCUCCCAGCCACCUUCUCCCAUCUCCAUCCCCACCUCCACAGCAUCCCAGCUAUUGUCCCUCUCCUUAGCAUGCACCUUCCCCCUGAUCUCUUGCUCCACCCCAGAGAGCUACAGUCCGUGCAGGGGCUGGGGAGCACAUAUAAGUGUCCUAGGAGAGGCCCUGCCCUUCACACCUGCAGCUCGUCCCACCUGUGCAAGGAGCCAGCGUCAUGUUUGUACCUUGCACACUCCUGUGUCCACCACUGAAUAUACUGUUUCUGUUCCA
Molecule: small RNA, 1246 nt
Filed under: Pongo abelii (Sumatran orangutan)
Lineage: Eukaryota; Metazoa; Chordata; Mammalia; Primates; Hominidae
Description: retained intron
Source: RNAcentral